UACAGCGCUGCCGUAUUACUCCACACAUUAAUGCGGCGGCGUUAAAUAAAGGAGGAUAUAGAUCCGUAUGGCUUGCGGUGUAGCAGUGUGGAGACCUGCUAUAAUGCGUACGGUGGAGUAUCUGUACGCGAGGCGUGUUUUGCGGAGGCUGAUGCGCCAGAGCCAAAGAAUAUGGCA
Regulatory RNA element from Christensenella minuta, 177 nucleotides. It matches the Rfam family "malK-I RNA". NCBI's taxonomy places the organism in Bacteria, Bacillati, Bacillota, Clostridia, Christensenellales, Christensenellaceae. The record is from Rfam.